This 451-nucleotide ribosomal RNA is filed under the name uncultured bacterium. RNAcentral describes it as "bacterial SSU rRNA". It matches the Rfam family "Bacterial small subunit ribosomal RNA", at positions 340 to 786 of the family's 1533-position model. The record is from RNAcentral.
UACGGAAGGCAGCAGGGGGAAUAUUGCACAAUGGGCGCAAGCCUGAUGCAGCCAUGCCGCGUGUAUGAAGAAGGCCUUCGGGUUGUAAAGUACUUUCAGUCGUGAGGAAGGUGUUAAGGUUAAUAACCUUAGCAAUUGACGUUAGCGACAGAAGAAGCACCGGCUAACUCCGUGCCAGCAGCCGCGGUAAUACGGAGGGUGCGAGCGUUAAUCGGAAUUACUGGGCGUAAAGGGCACGCAGGCGGUUAAUUAAGUUGGAUGUGAAAUCCCCGGGCUUAACCUGGGAAUGGCAUUCAAGCUGGUUAGCUAGAGUCUUGUAGAGGGGGUAGAAUUCCAUGUGUAGCGGCGAAAUGCGUAGAGAUGUGGAGGAAUACCGGUGGCGAAGGCGGCCCCUGGACAAAGACUGACGCUCAUGUGCGAAAGCGUGGGGAGCAAACAGGGAUUAGAUACC